Molecule: long non-coding RNA, 1630 nt
Organism: Gadus macrocephalus (Pacific cod)
Lineage: Eukaryota; Metazoa; Chordata; Actinopteri; Gadiformes; Gadidae
Exons: 2
Source: RefSeq, a predicted model, not a curated record
GCUACUUGCACAAGCACUUCCUGAUUCGCCGUAAUACAGCUCAUCAGCUUCCGGUUCCAAGAUGGCAACGUUAUACACCCGGUGUUUACAGGAGCUGCCGACAUUAAAUAUCACAGAUGUGCAUCGUUUAUGUCGGGAAAAAAACUCCGACAAGCAAAUUGGAGAAGGGGUUUAGGCUGUAUGGUUCGAACUACAUUCACAGCUACGAAGUGCCCAAUAAAGACAAGCUGACAGUGCAGGUCAGCGUGAGAGCCUUGUGCUACAGGUCGAUGGGGAAGAGCGAGGCACCACCGUUUGAGUCUAGGCAGGAAGCUGUGUUCAUCCCUGUUCAGUGGUGUUUGUUCGGUUAAGCAGUAGCUAAGUGUAGUCCUCAAGGGCCACCAACUUGAAUGUUUUUCAUGUCUCCCUGUUUUUCACACACAAUUUAAUAUAGUCAAGGUAAUGAGUAAUAUAGUCAAGGCUACAACUUUUCAAUAAACAAGAUAUUUAUUGUCGUUUGCACAGCAGAAGUACAUGUACAUUGGAAUAAUUGUGAUUCUUGGAGUCCGCUUUAAAAAAAAAACACAUCUUUAUUUUAAGAGGAAGAGAAUAUAACAGUAAGCAUUCAGGGUGGUAGGCUUUUUCUAGCACAGUUGAAGUACUUACCUUCAUAAGAAACAAGUUGUUUUUUACACCCAUGAUGCUGAGGUUAUAUUUCUAAUGAUUUACCUUUUUCUCUUAGAUCAAGCUUUGUGAUUCAUCAGCCAAGGGAUGAAAAAAGAAAGAGUUAAUCUAUGGGCUGGAGCAGCUGUCUCUGAGAGGAAAAGAAAAAAAGUAUAGCUCAAAAACAACAAAUACAAAUGCAAUGGCAUUAUGUAUAAUUACAUCUGUAACUACUUAUAAAGUACUGUUGAUGCACGUGCAGGUGCGACCACUUCUUUUUUCUGGGCAGCUGAUUUGGCUCUGGAAACACGGACCAUCUUGUAGAGAAGGCUCAAUCAAAGACCAAAAAGCUCUCAGAUGGUUGUAGCUGGCAAAUCUAUUCACAAAAGACACCGCAUAAAAAUGUUCAAUUAGAAGUGUACAUCAAAAGUAUACAUUGUUACCAAAAUAAUGUCAACAGUAACUACUAAGAUUAAGAUUUUAUCGUAUAUAUAAUAUAUAUAUAUAUAUUUAUAUUAUGUAGCAGGGUGACCUGUAUUUCUCCCAUCCACUUGUGCCACUAUGCAACGGAUGGCGUCGUAACUAAUCCCUUGCACUCAGCUGACAGGUUUGUUUAGUUUCCUCUUUGGGUGCAGUUCAAUAACUGCACCAACUUCCUGUAAGACAACCUGAUGUGUGUGGAUAUCCAAUGCCCUAAUGUGUUCUCUGUGCUCUCUUUUUAGAGUAGUGUUCUUGUCCGGGCCGUAUCUUUGGGAGGCGCGGUUUGGUGGUUUGCCGUGUACUUGCAUGUAGAUAAGUAGGGUGUUACCUGCUCAAUUCAUACAUUUUUACAAUUGUUUAUUAAUAGUAUUUUGUUCUAGGACCAGCCUUGGUGGAGUUGGAGACGGUCACAUUCUGGCGCUGGCGCUUCAGUGCUCCUAUUUUCAUCUCAUAGAAUAAUAACAUGACUUUUUUCAACCAUUUAAAAAUAAACUUUUGUAGACUUGAA